CCAUUGUCAGAUGCAUCUCUCAGGCUAAUUGUCGUACCAGAACUUCUUCUGAAGUGUCUCAACGAGCUUCUCAUCCACCUGGAACCCCUUGGCUAGUACCUCAGGGGAAAUAGGAGGUUUCGCAUUGAACAGUGCAUUCGCGAUAGUGAUGACUCCUGGACUUUGGCUGCUUAGACCGGUGAUCAUGACUGCAUUGGUCUUUCCAACGUUGAGCUGGAAGUGAAUCAUCCCAAUCGGGAAAA
Molecule: long non-coding RNA, 242 nt
Organism: Rhodamnia argentea
Lineage: Eukaryota; Viridiplantae; Streptophyta; Magnoliopsida; Myrtales; Myrtaceae
Exons: 2
Source: RefSeq, a predicted model, not a curated record